UCAGACAUGGUGUAGUGGGAACACGGCCUCUUCUUAUAAUCCAAUGUUCGACAAUCAGAGGUCUUCCAGGGUUUGAAUCCUUGUGUCUGAA
Molecule: non-coding RNA, 91 nt
Organism: Mycena vulgaris
Lineage: Eukaryota; Fungi; Basidiomycota; Agaricomycetes; Agaricales; Mycenaceae
Source: the annotation of a GenBank genome assembly